Molecule: long non-coding RNA, 527 nt
Organism: Phyllopteryx taeniolatus (common seadragon)
Lineage: Eukaryota; Metazoa; Chordata; Actinopteri; Syngnathiformes; Syngnathidae
Exons: 3
Source: RefSeq, a predicted model, not a curated record
GCGGCUGAAAUUUCAGGAGCUGUUUUACGUCGCCGUUUUAACGUACAAAAACAUUUGCAUUUCCCAAGCUGUUUUUUUUUCAUGGUAACUUUAUUGACAACUUAUUUAUUUUACUAGUAGUUAUGAAUUUUCCGUCUUCGUCACAAAAAGAUGAACAAAGAUUCAAGCAUGACAACAAAGCAACGCUGAUGCUUUGCGAGACGGGGGAGCUUGAGAGACACCGGAAAACAAGAGCCAGAUGACGCCCUCAUCGCCAUGAUUGUGAAGGAUACACAGUCCUUCAGUGUUAUGGAUGAUGUUGGAUUCAGGACAUUUGUGUCCAAAUUGGAUCCAAAUUAUGUUCUCCCUACAAGGCAGGCUCUGAAAGUCGUGGUGGAAGCCAAGUCUGAGUCAGCUAUGGAGAAGGCUAAGGCUAAAGUGGAAAAGGUGGUUGGCGUUAGCCUUUCUUCUUACCUGUGGACAAUCCAUAAACGUGGUUGCCUACCUGGCUGUAACAUGCCAUUUUGGGAAAAUUAGGCUUGGUUCGU